GGGCCCGCACAAGCGGUGGAGCAUGUGGUUUAAUUCGAUGAUACGCGAGGAACCUUACCAGGGCUUAAAUGGGAAAUGACAGGGGCAGAGACGCCCCCUUCUUCGGACUCAUUACAAGGUGCUGCAUGGUUGUCGUCAGCUCGUGCCGUGAGGUGUCAGGUUAAGUCCUAUAACGAGCGCAACCCCUAUCGUUAGUUGCCAGCGAGUAAUGUCGGGAACUCUAACGAAACUGCCAGUGCAAACUGUGAGGAAGGUGGGGAUGACGUCAAAUCAUCACGGCCCUUACGUCCUGGGCUACACACGUGCUACAAUGGCCGGUACAGAGAGCAGCCACUUCGCAAGAAGGAGCGGAUCUUCAAAGCCGGUCUCAGUUCGGAUCGCAGUCUGCAACUCGACUGCGUG
This 402-nucleotide ribosomal RNA is filed under the name uncultured bacterium. RNAcentral's name for it is "bacterial SSU rRNA". It matches the Rfam family "Bacterial small subunit ribosomal RNA", at positions 917 to 1322 of the family's 1533-position model. The record is from RNAcentral.